Molecule: long non-coding RNA, 466 nt
Organism: Leptopilina boulardi
Lineage: Eukaryota; Metazoa; Arthropoda; Insecta; Hymenoptera; Figitidae
Exons: 2
Source: RefSeq, a predicted model, not a curated record
ACCAGUUGUAACUUUCGAAAAAUCAAUUUUUUUUUUGUGCAUUUUCUUAAAGUACACAUAUUUAGAAAUGUGUCUGUAAAUUUCAAAGUUGAUCCGGUGAAAAAUAAAUGAGAUAUACAGAACACUGCAUCGGCGCGUCCCGUGGCUUCAUACAAGGUGGCCAGCCAUAACUGACCCUAACGACAGAUGGCCUUUUCCUAUGAUUUAGAAACGGCAACCACUGCGGAAGAGUUAUUAUAUGGUCCAAGAAUCGAUGACUCUUUGUAACUUGGAAACAAAAUUUCUUCUGAACAAAAAAAAACGAAGUAUACUUGCAGAAUGCUGGUCACCGCAAUUCGCCUUUUUUCUUAAGACGCCACUUCAAUGGCUCAUAUCUCCAAAAGUUUUUGUUAAAAAAAUUUUUUUUUUCUUUUAAAUUACAGCUUUUUACAUGUACUUUUAACUAAUAAAUAGUAUUCUUUAAAAA